CUACGGGACGCUCCAGUGGGGAAUAUUGCACAAUGGGGGAAACCCUGAUGCAGCAACGCCGCGUGGAGGAUGACGCAUUUCGGUGUGUAAACUCCUUUUAUAUAGAAAGAACAUGACGGUACUAUAUGAAUAAGCACCGGCUAACUCCGUGCCAGCAGCCGCGGUAAUACGGAGGGUGCAAGCGUUACUCGGAAUCACUGGGCGUGAAGGAUGCGUAGGCGGAUUAAUAAGUUGGGAGUGAAAUCCUAUGGCUCAACCAUAGAACUGCUUUCAAAACUGUUAGUCUAGAAUGUGGGAGAGGUAGAUGGAAUUAGUGGUGUAGGGGUAAAAUCCGUAGAGAUCACUAGGAAUACCGAUUGCGAAGGCGAUCUACUGGAACACUAUUGACGCUGAGGCAUGAAAGCGUGGGGAGCAAACAGGAUUAGAUACCCUCGUAGUC
This 439-nucleotide ribosomal RNA is filed under the name uncultured bacterium. RNAcentral describes it as "partial 16S ribosomal RNA". It matches the Rfam family "Bacterial small subunit ribosomal RNA", at positions 339 to 795 of the family's 1533-position model. The record is from RNAcentral.